Molecule: ribosomal RNA, 305 nt
Filed under: uncultured bacterium
Lineage: Bacteria
Description: bacterial SSU rRNA
Rfam family: Bacterial small subunit ribosomal RNA
Source: RNAcentral
CCUACGGGGGGCAGCAGUGAGGAAUAUUGGUCAAUGGGCGGGAGCCUGAACCAGCCAAGUCGCGUGAAGGAAGAAGGUACUUAGUAUUGUAAACUUCUUUUGUCGGGGAACAAAGGCGGAGACGCGUCUCCGGAUGAGUGUACCCGAAGAAAAAGCAUCGGCUAACUCCGUGCCAGCAGCCGCGGUAAUACGGAGGAUGCGAGCGUUAUCCGGAUUUAUUGGGUUUAAAGGGUGCGUAGGCGGACAGUCAAGUCAGCGGUAAAAAUGCGGUGCUCAACGCCGCACAGCCGUUGAAACUGGCAGUC